This 212-nucleotide ribosomal RNA is filed under the name uncultured bacterium. RNAcentral describes it as "partial 16S ribosomal RNA". It matches the Rfam family "Bacterial small subunit ribosomal RNA", at positions 568 to 774 of the family's 1533-position model. The record is from RNAcentral.
CUCGUAGGUGGCCAACUAAGUCAGACGUGAAAUCCCUCAGCUUAACUGGGGAACUGCGUCUGAUACUGGAUGGCUUGAGAUUGGGGAGAGGGAUGCGGAAUUCCAGGUGUAGCGGUGAAAUGCGUAGAUAUCUGGAGGAACACCGGUGGCGAAGGCGGCAUCCUGGACCAACACUGACACUGAGGAGCGAAACGCCGAGGGGAGACGAAACG